AAAGUCGUAACAAGGUAACCGUAGGUGAACCUGCGGUUGGAUCAUUACCAAUCCUGGGCUCGCAAGAGUCCUUCAACCCCAUGUGCACUUAAUAUUGUUUCUGGGUGUCGUCUAGGCACCCAAACUUAUAAACCUUACCAUAUGUCUGUUAUUAUUAUAUAAUAAAAACAACUUUUGACAACGGAUCUCUUGGCUCUC
This 198-nucleotide unclassified non-coding RNA is filed under the name fungal sp. RNAcentral's name for it is "partial contains small subunit ribosomal RNA, internal transcribed spacer 1, and 5.8S ribosomal RNA". The stretch from base 1 to 47 matches the Rfam family "Eukaryotic small subunit ribosomal RNA", at positions 1785 to 1831 of the family's 1831-position model. Lineage: Eukaryota; Fungi. The record is from RNAcentral.